Molecule: ribosomal RNA, 435 nt
Filed under: uncultured Oscillospiraceae bacterium
Lineage: Bacteria; Bacillati; Bacillota; Clostridia; Eubacteriales; Oscillospiraceae
Description: partial 16S ribosomal RNA
Rfam family: Bacterial small subunit ribosomal RNA
Source: RNAcentral
ACGGGAGGCAGCAGUCGGGAAUAUUGCGCAAUGGAGGAAACUCUGACGCAGUGACGCCGCGUAUAGGAAGAAGGUUUUCGGAUUGUAAACUAUUGUCAUCAGGGAAGAUACAAGACAGUACCUGAGGAGGAAGCUCCGGCUAACUAUGUGCCAGCAGCCGCGGUAAUACAUAGGGAGCAAGCGUUAUCCGGAUUUAUUGGGUGUAAAGGGUGCGUAGACGGGAAUGCAAGUUGGUUGUGAAAUCCCUCGGCUUAACUGAGGAACUGCAACCAAAACUGUAUUUCUUGAGUGUCGGAGAGGAAAGUGGAAUUCCUAGUGUAGCGGUGAAAUGCGUAGAUAUUAGGAGGAACACCAGUGGCGAAGGCGACUUUCUGGACGAUAACUGACGUUGAGGCACGAAAGUGUGGGGAGCAAACAGGAUUAGAUACCCUGGUA